Molecule: ribosomal RNA, 438 nt
Filed under: Enterobacter sp.
Lineage: Bacteria; Pseudomonadati; Pseudomonadota; Gammaproteobacteria; Enterobacterales; Enterobacteriaceae
Description: bacterial SSU rRNA
Rfam family: Bacterial small subunit ribosomal RNA
Source: RNAcentral
UGCAGUCGAGCGGGGAAGUAUAGCUUGCUAUACGACCUAGCGGCGGACGGGUGAGUAAUGCUUAGGAAUCUGCCUAUUAGUGGGGGACAACAUUCCGAAAGGAAUGCUAAUACCGCAUACGCCCUACGGGGGAAAGCAGGGGAUCUUCGGACCUUGCGCUAAUAGAUGAGCCUAAGUCAGAUUAGCUAGUUGGUGGGGUAAAGGCCUACCAAGGCGACGAUCUGUAGCGGGUCUGAGAGGAUGAUCCGCCACACUGGGACUGAGACACGGCCCAGACUCCUACGGGAGGCAGCAGUGGGGAAUAUUGGACAAUGGGCGAAAGCCUGAUCCAGCCAUGCCGCGUGUGUGAAGAAGGCCUUUUGGUUGUAAAGCACUUUAAGCGAGGAGGAGGCUACCGAGAUUAAUACUCUUGGAUAGUGGACGUUACUCGCAGAAUAA